Mastomys coucha (southern multimammate mouse) is the source of this 343-nucleotide long non-coding RNA. RefSeq lists it as uncharacterized. The record is from RefSeq and is a predicted model, not a curated record. Lineage: Eukaryota; Metazoa; Chordata; Mammalia; Rodentia; Muridae. The transcript is spliced from 3 exons.
UGUUCAACAUAUGUGUGACGGCUGAUUGAGUGAACGGGGCAGACCUUGCAGCCACCCGCCUGCCCAGGAGCAGGGGAAGGACUAGCUCCUGGUAAGCUGUGUGCACAUUCAGGUCGUCUUCCUGCGUUCCACUUCUCAUGUGAACAUUUGUGUGCAUACCCGAUCCUGCUCAUGACCGCAUUAACAGCAGUUUUCAUUCACCAGUAGAAAGUCGCAGCAUCAGCCAAGGUCACCACUCAGCAGUUCAAGCCUGCCGUAGGUAGCACCCACAUGAAGGCUAUAACAUGAGCAAAGGGCUAAUCCACAGGGAAGCAAGCGUCCAGUGCCAGCAGAAACCCUCCUG